CACGGAGUAAAGGAAGUCGGUGGUCAAAAUGUAUGCUUCCCUCUGGCGUUCUUCCUUAUGUCAUCGAAGAGUGAGGACGCCUACCGGCACCUCUUCAAUACAAUGCAACUGCUCUGUCAGCAACACGGCCAUGUUCUCCAACCUGCAUUUAUUAUCACGGACUUCGAGGCGGCCGCUAUUGCAGCUCUUCGACGUGCGUUUCCCGAAGCGACUCUACACGGCUGCCUGUUCCACCUCUCACAGAACGUAUUUAGAAGGGUGCAACGAGAAGGCCUUCAAAUGCUGUACGUAAGGGACCCGGAGUUCGCAAGUGCGGUUCGCCAGAUAAGCGCUCUCUCCUUCUUGCCGCCACAUCGCAUACGGAGGGGGUUUGAAUCGAUCAAGCCGCUUUUUCCGGAAGAGGCAGCGAGCCUUCUCCAAUGGUUCG
This is a long non-coding RNA of Ornithodoros turicata, 427 nucleotides long. RefSeq lists it as uncharacterized. Lineage: Eukaryota; Metazoa; Arthropoda; Arachnida; Ixodida; Argasidae. The record is from RefSeq and is a predicted model, not a curated record. The transcript has 3 exons.